UCAUAUCUCCUGAAUCUGCUGCUGUUCCACAAAUCUCUUACUUUCCUCUGGAAAAAAAGAGGGAUACCGGAGAAUUUUCUCACCUAAGAUCAGCAUAGUAAGUGGCAAGAAGUAGGAAAAGCAGGCAGGGACUAAAGCUGUAUCAUGGUUUUCUGCUGUGAUGAUUGAGAAAGGCUAAUGCUAAUUGGAGAGUACCUCUUCAUUCACUUAAAAAAAAAACAAAACAAGUUUGUUUUCUUGAUGUGGCUGAGGAAACAAAAGAUUCUAUUUGAAUUCUGAGAGAGGGAACAGAGGGCUGCUCAGCUAGAAGUGGAUCACACACGGGGCUGUGUAGGAAGGAGAAGAAUAAACAGAGAAGAUAGAGCAUGAUACUUCCAAACUCCUUGAUGAUAGAGGGAAGAUAACAUGUGAAGCUCUGAUUGUUCAUGUUCCUGGAAAGAGGAAAAUGAUCGUUCAUCUAGUUCUUCCUCCCUCCUUUGCUAUCAAAUGACAAGAUUGUUGAUUAGCAGAUGUAAUGGACCAAUACUAGUCUGGUUAAUGGACUGCACACUCAUAAUCAGAAUUCACACUUGAAUAAUUACCAUAAGCAAAGUUAAUAUGGCUUCAGGAUAUAAAUACAGAGCUGUAGCAACAGAGCACAGAAGGGAUACUGAGCAACCAGCAGUUGCUUAGAGCAGCUGUUCUGAUUUCCAUCAGUCCUACAGGAAUGCCCUAGCCCGGGGACCUUAGACAAAGUGGCCUACAAGAAAUGAGUCUUCAUCAAGUGUGAAACUCUGGGGAACCAAUCAAAAAUCUGCUGGCUGCCAUCCUUUCCUUGUGUGUGAGACUCAGUAGUAUAUAGCUUAAUAUCACUCAAUAAACUGAGUUCAGCAACACACAUAUAACUCAACAAGAUUCAUUCUAGUAAAUCCAUAAUUUAUUCUGCUCAUUCAUGCCUUUGGAUGACUGUCUUUAUGAUGUCAUAGUCUGAGCAUUAAUCAUAAAAGUAAUCUCCACCAUAGCAGACUGUUUCCCUCUUUAGAGUCUUUUAGAAUUUUCUAUGUUAUUCUAAAAUUUUAGAACAGAAAUGUCAAAUUAUGCAUAUUUUUUUACAUUCAUUCUGCUUGGCAAUUGGUGGGUCUUUUCAAUCUGAAGAAUUUCACCUUUCUUUGGGAAAAAAUAACUUAUAAUUUCAUUGUUUACUCUCUCCUUUUUCUUCUUCUAUCCUUU
Molecule: long non-coding RNA, 1209 nt
Organism: Diceros bicornis minor
Lineage: Eukaryota; Metazoa; Chordata; Mammalia; Perissodactyla; Rhinocerotidae
Exons: 3
Source: RefSeq, a predicted model, not a curated record